AGUGAACGCUGGCGGUAGGCCUAACACAUGCAAGUCGAACGGCAGCACAGUAAGAGCUUGCUCUUACGGGUGGCGAGUGGCGGACGGGUGAGGAAUAAAUCGGAAUCUACUUUUUCGUGGGGGAUAACGUAGGGAAACUUACGCUAAUACCGCAUACGACCUACGGGUGAAAGCAGGGGAUCUUCGGACCUUGCGCGAUUGAAUGAGCCGAUGUCGGAUUAGCUAGUUGGCGGGGUAAAGGCCCACCAAGGCGACGAUCCGUAGCUGGUCUGAGAGGAUGAUCAGCCACACUGGAACGAGGACACGGUCCGGACUCCUACGGGAGGCAGCAGAGGGGAAUAUUGGACAAUGGGCGCAAGCCUGAUCCAGCCAUACCGCGUGGGUGAAGAAGGCCUUCGGGUUGUAAAGCCCUUUUGUUGGGAAAGAAAAGCAGCAGGUUAAUACCCCGCUGUUCUGACGGUACCCAAAGAAUAAGCACCGGCUAACUUCGUG
Molecule: ribosomal RNA, 492 nt
Filed under: uncultured bacterium
Lineage: Bacteria
Description: partial 16S ribosomal RNA
Rfam family: Bacterial small subunit ribosomal RNA
Source: RNAcentral